Molecule: ribosomal RNA, 593 nt
Filed under: Variovorax sp. E37
Lineage: Bacteria; Pseudomonadati; Pseudomonadota; Betaproteobacteria; Burkholderiales; Comamonadaceae
Description: bacterial SSU rRNA
Rfam family: Bacterial small subunit ribosomal RNA
Source: RNAcentral
UAGACGCUGGCGGCAUGCCUUACACAUGCAAGUCGAACGGCAGCGCGGGAGCAAUCCUGGCGGCGAGUGGCGAACGGGUGAGUAAUACAUCGGAACGUGCCCAAUCGUGGGGGAUAACGCAGCGAAAGCUGUGCUAAUACCGCAUACGAUCUACGGAUGAAAGCAGGGGAUCGCAAGACCUUGCGCGAAUGGAGCGGCCGAUGGCAGAUUAGGUAGUUGGUGAGGUAAAGGCUCACCAAGCCUUCGAUCUGUAGCUGGUCUGAGAGGACGACCAGCCACACUGGGACUGAGACACGGCCCAGACUCCUACGGGAGGCAGCAGUGGGGAAUUUUGGACAAUGGGCGAAAGCCUGAUCCAGCCAUGCCGCGUGCAGGAUGAAGGCCUUCGGGUUGUAAACUGCUUUUGUACGGAACGAAACGGCCUUUUCUAAUAAAGAGGGCUAAUGACGGUACCGUAAGAAUAAGCACCGGCUAACUACGUGCCAGCAGCCGCGGUAAUACGUAGGGUGCAAGCGUUAAUCGGAAUUACUGGGCGUAAAGCGUGCGCAGGCGGUUAUGUAAGACAGUUGUGAAAUCCCCGGGCUCAACCUGGA